GACGAACGCUGGUGGCGUGCUUAACACAUGCAAGUCGAACGGAAAGGCCCUGCUUUUGUGGGGUGCUCGAGUGGCGAACGGGUGAGUAACACGUGAGUAACCUGCCCUUGACUUUGGGAUAACUUCAGGAAACUGGGGCUAAUACCGGAUAGGAGCUCCUGCUGCAUGGUGGGGGUUGGAAAGUUUCGGCGGUUGGGGGUGGACUCGCGGCUUAUCAGCUUGUUGGUGGGGUAGUGGCUUACCAAGGCUUUGACGGGUAGCCGGCCUGAGAGGGUGACCGGCCACAUUGGGACUGAGAUACGGCCCAGACUCCUACGGGAGGCAGCAGUGGGGAAUAUUGCACAAUGGGCGGAAGCCUGAUGCAGCAACGCCGCGUGCGGGAUGACGGCCUUCGGGUUGUAAACCGCUUUCGCCUGUGACGAAGCGUGAGUGACGGUAAUGGGUAAAGAAGCACCGGCUAACUACGUG
Molecule: ribosomal RNA, 468 nt
Filed under: uncultured bacterium
Lineage: Bacteria
Description: partial 16S ribosomal RNA
Rfam family: Bacterial small subunit ribosomal RNA
Source: RNAcentral